This 348-nucleotide RNase P RNA is filed under the name Lachnospiraceae bacterium. RNAcentral describes it as "RNase P RNA component class A". It matches the Rfam family "Bacterial RNase P class A". Rfam says of the family: Ribonuclease P (RNase P) is a ubiquitous endoribonuclease, found in archaea, bacteria and eukarya as well as chloroplasts and mitochondria. The record is from RNAcentral. Lineage: Bacteria; Bacillati; Bacillota; Clostridia; Lachnospirales; Lachnospiraceae.
UAAGUAGGACAAAUGGUCGCAGCUGCCUUCGGGCAGGUGAGGAAAGUCCGGGCUUCACAGGGCAGGAUGCCGGAUAACGUCCGGUGGAGGUGACUCCAAGGAUAGUGCAACAGAAAUAUACCGCCUGCGGGCAAUGCCGGCAGGUAAGGUUGGAAGGGCAGUGUAAGAGACUACCGCCUUUCUGGUAACAGGAAGGGCAUAUGUAAACCCCAUCCGAAGCAAAACCAAACAGAAAACAAUCUGGCGGCCCGUCAGGUUUUCAGGUAGGUUGCUUGAGGCAUCUGGCAACAGAUGCCCUAGAUAGAUGACCAUUCACGACAGAACCCGGCUUACCGUCCUGCUUACUUU